CACUCCUGCGGGAGGCAGCAGUGGGGAAUUUUGGACAAUGGGCGAAAGCCUGAUCCAGCAAUGCCGCGUGAGUGAAGAAGGCCUUCGGGUUGUAAAGCUCUUUUGUCAGGGAAGAAACGGUGAGAGCUAAUAUCUCUUGCUAAUGACGGUACCUGAAGAAUAAGCACCGGCUAACUACGUGCCAGCAGCCGCGGUAAUACGUAGGGUGCAAGCGUUAAUCGGAAUUACUGGGCGUAAAGCGUGCGCAGGCGGUUUUGUAAGUCUGAUGUGAAAUCCCCGGGCUCAACCUGGGAAUUGCAUUGGAGACUGCCAGGCUAGAAUCUGGCAGAGGGGGGUAGAAUUCCACGUGUAGCAGUGAAAUGCGUAGGUAUGUGGAGGAACACCGAUGGCGAAGGCAGCCCCCUGGGUCAAGAUUGACGCUCAUGCACGAAAGCGUGGGGAGCAAACAGGAUUAGAAACCCUUGUAGUCCCAUG
This 474-nucleotide ribosomal RNA is filed under the name uncultured organism. RNAcentral's name for it is "partial 16S ribosomal RNA". It matches the Rfam family "Bacterial small subunit ribosomal RNA", at positions 334 to 799 of the family's 1533-position model. The record is from RNAcentral.